AAAAUCCGUCGACUUUAGAAAUGGGAGGGUCAAGUCCCCUUCCCC
RNAcentral lists this transfer RNA (45 nucleotides) under Acacia attenuata. Its description in RNAcentral is "partial tRNA-Leu". The record is from RNAcentral. Lineage: Eukaryota; Viridiplantae; Streptophyta; Magnoliopsida; Fabales; Fabaceae.